CUCCAGCCUGUUAAGAUCUUCAGCAGAUGUUUGAGAAAAAAGUCAUCAUCCUCUUCGUCACACUUCAUCCGUAUUUGGGGUAACAAGCACCUGCUUCCCACAAGAGACUGGACCGCUGAAGUCAGACCUGCACCUUCCUUGAACAUGUCGGUAUCUUACUCUGUAUUUGUUCACGGUGGUCACCCCAGGGUCUCAGGACUCAAAUUGAGUGCUCUAUGGAUUAAACAGAAAAU
Non-coding RNA from Paramisgurnus dabryanus, 233 nucleotides. The record is from RefSeq and is a predicted model, not a curated record. NCBI's taxonomy places the organism in Eukaryota, Metazoa, Chordata, Actinopteri, Cypriniformes, Cobitidae.